This 403-nucleotide ribosomal RNA is filed under the name bacterium. Its description in RNAcentral is "partial 16S ribosomal RNA". It matches the Rfam family "Bacterial small subunit ribosomal RNA", at positions 355 to 776 of the family's 1533-position model. The record is from RNAcentral.
UGGGGAAUCUUGCACAAUGGGGGAAACCCUGAUGCAGCGACGCCACGUGAGCGAUGAAGGUUUUCGAAUCGUAAAGCUUUGUCCUAUGGGAAGAUAAUGACGGUACCAUAGGAGGAAGCCCCGGCUAACUACGUGCCAGCAGCCGCGGUAAUACGUAGGGGGCGAGCGUUGUCCGGAAUUACUGGGCGGAAAGGGUUCGCAGGCGGCAUGACAAGUCCGAUGUAAGAGGCGACAGCUCAACUUUCGUAAGUAUCGGAAACUGUCGAGCUUGAGUGAAGGAGAAGCAAGUGGAAUUCCUAGUGUAGCGGUGGAAUGAGUAGAUAUUAGGAGGAAUACCGGUGGCGAAAGCGGCUUGCUGGACUUCAACUGACGCUGAGGAACGAAAGCGUGGGUAGCAAACAGG